RNAcentral lists this ribosomal RNA (2694 nucleotides) under bacterium. RNAcentral describes it as "partial 23S ribosomal RNA". It matches the Rfam family "Bacterial large subunit ribosomal RNA", at positions 606 to 2925 of the family's 2925-position model. The record is from RNAcentral.
UAUUGAAGAAUGAGCCAACGAGUUAUUUUUUAUUGCUUGUUUAAGUCUGGAAACAGACGGAAGCUUAGGGAAACCGAGUGUUAAUAGCGCGUAACAUUACUUAUAAUUUAUGGCCGAUAAAUUUCGGCCUUGCCGAUUCUUAUUGGCUAUUCAUUAUGAGUUUUGUAGGCAGUAAGAAAUAGACCCGAAGCCAGACGAGCUUGCCCUGACCAGGGUGAAGGUUGAUGAAAGUCAACCGGAGGCCCGAACCGGUACAUUGUGCAAGAUGUUCGGAUGAGUUGGGGUAAGGAGUGAAAAGCUUAUCGAGUUUGGUAAUAGCUGGUUCUCUCCGAAAUAGUUUUAGGACUAGCGUUCAGUUGUUUUAGUAGGGGGUAGAGCUACUGGUUAGAGUUGACAGGAGGAAACUUCGCGACUUUAGUCAAACUCCGAAUACCUGCUAAAGAUGCUGGACAGUUAGAAGGUGGGGGCUAAGCUCCAUCUUCGAAAGGGAAACAGCCCUGAUCGCAGUCUAAGGUCCCUAAAUUUAUGCUAAGUGUUAAAGGUAGUCAUUUUCCUUAGACAGAUAGGAGGUUGGCUUAGAGGUAGUCAUCCUUUAAAGAGUGUGUAACAACUCACUAUUCGAGGACGGUGGCGCCGAAAAUUUACCGGGGCUAAGCAUAAUACCGAAGACGCGGAUUUUCCGGCGUAAGCCGGGAAGUGGUAGGAGAGCAUUCUUUGAGCAUUGAAGCCGUAUUCGUGAGAAGCGGUGGAGCUCAAGGAAGAGAGAAUGUUGGCAUGAGUAAUCGCAAUUCCGAUUAAAACUCGGAACACCGUAAGUCCAAGGUUUCCUCCGCAACGGAAUUCGACGGAGGGUUAGACGAUCCUAAGGCAAUGGCGAAAGCCGCAGCCGAAAGGGAAACCGGUUAAUAUUCCGGUUCUCCUGUUUUUUUCGAUGGGAUAACGAGACGUAGUAGAUUGGGUGCCUUAAUGGUUUGGCAUCCUUGAUCGAGAACGGAGGGUUGGCAAAUCCGCCUUCCUGCCUUUAAUGGCAAGUUUCAGAGAAGAGGUGAGUUAGGGUUUUUGCCCUGGCAAGCUGAUCGAGCCCGUCUCCAAGAAAAAUCUCUAAGGCUAGGAAAACAGGAUCCGUACCGUAAACCGCCACAGGUGGACGAGGCGAGUAGCCUCAGGUGAACGGGUGAUUCCUCGUUAAGGAACUCGGCAAAAAAGCUGGGCGUAACUUCGGGAGAAGCCCUGCCUGCUUGAUCUUCGGAUUGGGCGGGCCGCAGCGAAAGAUUCCCUGGCGACUGUUUAACAAAAACACAGCUCCCUGCGAACUCGUAAGAGGAUGUAUAGGGGGUGAUGCCUGACCGAUGCGAGAAGGUUAACGUUGGGUGUGUGCGUUGCGCAAGCGAUGCAUGCUCACCGACCGAAGCCCUCGUCAAUGUCGGCCGUAACUAUAACGGUCCAAAGGUAGCGCAUUUCCUUUCCGGGUAAGUUCCGGAGCGCAUGAAAGGCGUAACGACUGGGGAACUGUCUCAACGAGGAGCCCGAUGAAAAUGCGAUUCCCGUGAAGACGCGGGAUACCGGUAGCAAGACGAAAAGACCCUAGAAGCUUUACUGUAGUUUGGUAUUGAUAUUAACGUUUGCUUGCGUAGCGUAGCAGGGAGACUUUGAAGCGCCGUUUUUGGAUGGCGUGGAGUCGUCAAUGAAACACCUGUCUUUCAAAUUUUAAUAUCUAAUCCCGGCGGAAAAAACGCCGAGAGACAGUGCCUGAUGGGCAGUUUUUCUGGGGCGGAACCCUCCAAAAAGGUAACGGAGGGGUUUAUCAAGGUCGGCUUGGCGCGGAUGGAAACCGUGCUGGACGUGUAAAGGCACAAGCCGGCUUGACUGCAAGACCUACAAGUCGCGCAGCCGCGAAAGCGGAACUUAGCGACCCGACAACACUUUAUAGGAAGGUUGGAGACAACGGAUAAAAGUUACUCUAGGGAUAACAGGCUGGUGGAAUCCGAGAGUCCAUAUCGACGAUUCCGCUCGGCACCUCGAUGUCGGCUCACCACAUCCCGGGGGUGGAGAAGCUCCCAAGGGUUUGGCUGUUCGCCAAUUAAAGUGGUACGCGAGCUGGGUUCAGACCGUCAACAAAGAACCCAUAACGACAAUCGAACACGGCGGCAUAGAAGAGUAAUUUUCUAUGCAAAAUCGACUCAUAUCGGUGAAGUCCUAAGAAAUUAUCAACCUGUGAUUUUUGGGAUAAUACCGAGGGAAGUUAUAAAUUAUUUAAUUUAUUAACCCCGUAGAGACUCAUCCUUAUGGAUGGAACUCCGAUAUUAUCGGAGUUAAUACGUCGAUCUCCUCUAAUUUUAGAGGAUGGUGGUAUAGUCCGAUCCCGUCAGUAAUGGCGGAAAAUAAUAAAUUUGCGUGAGACAGGUUGGCCUCUAUCUGCUAUCGGCGUUAAGUAUUUGAGGGAAGUUGAUCCUAGUACGAGAGGACCGGAUUGAACAAACCUCUGGUCUACCGGCUUUGGCACCAGCUGAAGUGCCGGGUAGCUAUGUUUGGUGCGGAUAAGCGCUGAAAGCAUCUAAGCGCGAAGCCCAUCCCAAGAUUAGAUACUUGUUCGCAAGAACGAGAGUUCGUGGAAGACUACCACGUUGAUAGGCUCUAGGUGUAAGCGCCGUAAGGCGUGUUACUCGAUUGAUGGAAGAUUGAAGGAGAACGAUU